This 253-nucleotide ribosomal RNA is filed under the name uncultured bacterium. Its description in RNAcentral is "partial 16S ribosomal RNA". It matches the Rfam family "Bacterial small subunit ribosomal RNA", at positions 524 to 776 of the family's 1533-position model. The record is from RNAcentral.
UACGUAGGGUGCAAGCGUUAUCCGGAAUUAUUGGGCGUAAAGAGCUCGUAGGCGGUUUGUCGCGUCUGCUGUGAAAUCCCGAGGCUCAACCUCGGCUUGCAGUGGGUACGGGCGAGGCUAGAGUGCGGUAGGGGAGAAUGGAACUCCUGGUGUAGCGGUGGAAUGCGCAGAUAUCAGGAAGAACACCGAUGGCGAAGGCAGUUCUCUGGGCCGUAACUGACGCUGAAGAGCGAAAGCGUGGGGAGCGAACAGG